This is a small nucleolar RNA of Varanus komodoensis (Komodo dragon), 94 nucleotides long. NCBI's taxonomy places the organism in Eukaryota, Metazoa, Chordata, Lepidosauria, Squamata, Varanidae. The record is from Ensembl.
CGGUGAUGAUGUGUGAACUCACGAUGGUCUGCAGAGCCCCCCGGUGAACGGGGGCUGCUGAAAGUGCCAGCCCGGCUGUUGCUGAACCAUGGAG